CUAAUUUUAACAUUGUCUCCAUAGCUUUAUGGUUUAGCAGUUUGGUUUUUCUCUUCUCUUAGGAAUGGUUUCCUCUCUAUUUAUCUUGCUUGUAUUCUGGUGAGUUUCCAAAAUCUGCGAAUAUUAUCUAUCUAUUUACAGUAUGAAAAACUUUGACUACUGUAUUGUUUGUAUUUUGACUGCCCUUUUCUUAUUUUCAUUUUCUUCUAGGACUCCAGUUAUACAUAUAUCAGGAAGCUUAAUACAAUCCCAGAGGUUUUACUUGAAAAAUAGAAUUUUAUUGAUAAAAAAUAGAAAACUUCAAAUCUAUCACAACUCAUCAACAGUCUACUCCUUUUAUGUAUUGGAAGCUUGUCAACUUCUUUUUGAAAAGUUAAAGUUAAGUUAGAGCUAAGACCAUAAACAUAUGAAGACUGUCUGAGAAGACAUGACUGGAAACUGAAUAGGGCUGGGCGUGGUGGCUCACACCUGUAAUCCCAACAAUUUGGGAGGCCGAGGCGGGGGGAUCACCUGAAGUCAAGAGUUCGAGACCAGCCUGGUCAACAUGGAGAAAUCCUGUUUCCACUAAGAAUACAAGAAUUAGCCAGGCGUGGUGGCAGGUGCCUGUAAUCCCAGCUACUCAGGUGGCUGAGGCAGGAGAAUUGCUUCAACCCGGGAGGCAGAGGUUGCAGUGAUCCAAGAUCAUGCCACUGCACUCCAGCCUGGGAGACAGAGAAAGACUCCAUCUCAGGGGAAAAAAAAGAAAAGAAAAGAAAAAGAAAAGAAAACUGAAUAAUACUCUAUUUUUCUACAAUGAAUCUAGAAGAAAAAGAAAAGACCAAAUAUAGGAUUACUUGAAUGAGGUGAGUUUUAAAUGUUUGUGAGGGAUGAUAGGCAUAAAAUUGGUGAAGAAAAAAAAAGUCAGUGUUUUGCUCAGGGUGUUAUUUUAUACCGUGGAGCUUAGCAGGUGAUAAAUCUCAUGUAAGCUCAGCCUAAGUAUCUCUUUUCCCCACCCCCAAAAUGUACCUUAUCAACUAAGUUGAAAAUAAUUCUUAACAUGCUGUUUGCAGCUGGCCAAGCAUAGUCUCUCAUCAGAUUAAAUCAAAUGGAAAACACAAUGAGCUCUGGAAUAUGAAUAGGGCCCAGAGUGUCUGUUUUUUAAUCAUGCUCAAAAUCCAAUUGAACCAACAUGUACUGAUUAAAGUUUCUUUAGGUACCAAGACUUAAAGAAUUUUUUUUUCACCAAAGUUUGAGUUUAUGGCUUCCUGUUCAUGCAGCCUUAGAAAUACUAGCCUUGAUUUUUUGUGAAAUCACAACCAGCUCCCUUCCCAAACAAUGGCCAAAGUAUCAGUUUUAUUUACUUGUGUUUAUCCUAAUAAACUCUAGCCUUUUUACCUCAGUUCAUGGUGGUAACUUGUACAUCAUUUAAUUACUUCUUUUAAAUUUUAAUUUUAUGAUUUUUAUUUUAUAUGGAUGAGGAGGUAGAAAUAUAAAUAGGAAAUAGUUGGGAGAAUAGUCUAUACGUGCCUCCACUAACAUAAAUAAUAAAAUGAUUUUGCCCUUUCUUAGUUCUUCAGAGAUCUCCCUGGCCAUGUCAAUUAAGUUGGCCACUCCAAAAUAAAACUACACUAUUAACCUUUAGAACUACAUUCUAAGGUAGGACAGAAACAGUUUUUAGACAGACAGAAAUCCUGGGAUGAAGGAGAGUUUCAAGUGACAUUUUUCUUAUAAAUAAAUAAAUAUCAGCUAAUGUCUUUUUCAAUAUGGCUGACUAGAUACCGGGAAUGAUCUUCCCCAAUGAGAAGAAAUAAAUGUGUUAAGUGAAACAUAAAAAGGCAUUGCUGAACUGUUAUGGUAAUAAGGAAUCUGCAGAGACACAUUUGUUGGGAAAGUAGGUAAGUGAAUGAAAAUGAGGAAAGUGAUCUCCAAAAUCUACUUUUUUUCCUGGAAUCUUCUUCCAUUUUCUGAGUUCAACUUCAUUGUCCUGUACUAGAGAUCCACUUCACUUCUCGGGAUCCACUCUGAUGGCUUCAUGGAUAACAGAUCAUAAACUCUAGGACUCAUCAAAGGUGAAGUAUAGUAAAAAGUCCCUACAUUAAAAUGUAGACCUCAUCAUUUAACUAUUUAAUAUAUAACAUAAGGUACUGAAU
RNAcentral lists this long non-coding RNA (2129 nucleotides) under Homo sapiens (human). Its description in RNAcentral is "HSALNT0063738". The record is from RNAcentral. Lineage: Eukaryota; Metazoa; Chordata; Mammalia; Primates; Hominidae.